CGGUUCAGGAUUGAUUAAGAAGAAGGGCUUUAAAGGAUCAUUUGCAGAGGCUGGAUCUUGUGCGAAGACAUUUGCAGUUUUGUCUGGGGUACACAGUUUGGUUGUUUGCAUGUUAAAGAGGCUGAGAGGAAAGGAUGACGUUAUUAAUGCUGGAGUAGCUGGAUGCUGCACUGGUUUAGCUCUAAGUUUUCCAGGCGCUCCACAGGCUCUGCUUCAAAGUUGCAUAACUUUUGGAGCUUUUUCUUUUAUUCUAGAAGGCCUUAACAAGCAGCAGCCAGCACUGGCUCAUCCCGUUUUCUCGAGAAAGAGAAUCGAUAUGG
Molecule: unclassified non-coding RNA, 320 nt
Filed under: Hevea brasiliensis (rubber tree)
Lineage: Eukaryota; Viridiplantae; Streptophyta; Magnoliopsida; Malpighiales; Euphorbiaceae
Source: RNAcentral